CCCUUAGAUGUUCUGGGCUGCACGCGCGCUACACUGAUGCGCUCAACGAGUUUUAACCUUGCCUGGAAAGGUUGGGUAAUCUUUUUAAAACGCAUCGUGAUGGGGAUAGAUUAUUGCAAUUAUUAAUCUUCAACGAGGAAUUCCUAGUAAGCGCGAGUCAUCAGCUCGUGCUGAUUACGUCCCUGCCCUUUGUACACACCGCCCGUCGCUCCUACCGAUUGGAUGGUCCGGUGAAGCCUCGGGAUUGUGGUUCUUGCCGCUUUAUUGUGGCGUGACCGCGAGAACUUGUCUAAACCUUAUCAUCUAGAGGAAGGUGAAGUCGUAACA
Molecule: ribosomal RNA, 327 nt
Filed under: uncultured eukaryote
Lineage: Eukaryota
Description: partial 18S ribosomal RNA
Rfam family: Eukaryotic small subunit ribosomal RNA
Source: RNAcentral